This 537-nucleotide long non-coding RNA is filed under the name Rattus norvegicus (Norway rat). Its description in RNAcentral is "long non-coding RNA NONRATT022547". The record is from RNAcentral. Lineage: Eukaryota; Metazoa; Chordata; Mammalia; Rodentia; Muridae.
GAAACAAAGGAGAGGAGCCAAGCCCAGACAGGAAUUCGGCAUGGAUGACCCAGAGGGCUGGGGAGCUGAGAGGGAGGAGGACUUGGCCACAGGUCACGAAUUCCGAAUCCAUCCCGAAACGGGAGGCUCACUUUUGGGCUCCCGCCUCAUGUGGGACUGAGUUUCCUUAUCCGUCCAUCUAUUCAGGAUACUGAUGGUGGGGUGGUCCGGUGGUGGGGUGGGUGGGGUGGAUGAAUCUCAGGAGCUCAGGUGCUUCUGUCUUUCCCCAACCUCCUUUGCCCAUCCUUGGGCUCGUCCCAGAGCCAGCACAGGGCGGGGCAAGGGCAACCAGGCUGGGGACCCUCGCUCACGCUGCCCGUCAGCCCGGAGGGAGCUGACACGCUCCUUGGGAAUUUAUCACGCACCCAAUUACAAUGUUAAUUGGCAAGUUCCUGAAAUCAAUUAAUUCGCAAAUUUUUUCCAAUUAAAAAUCCAGAUAAAUCACAGGGGCGGCGGCGGGGCUGGUCCAGUCCGCAGUCCGGUGGACGCAGCGGCCGC